This 432-nucleotide ribosomal RNA is filed under the name uncultured bacterium. RNAcentral's name for it is "partial 16S ribosomal RNA". It matches the Rfam family "Bacterial small subunit ribosomal RNA", at positions 29 to 506 of the family's 1533-position model. The record is from RNAcentral.
AGCGAACGCUGGCGGCAGGCCUAACACAUGCAAGUCGAACGAACUCUUCGGAGUUAGUGGCGGACGGGUGAGUAACACGUGGGAACGUGCCUUUUGGUUCGGAAUAACUCAGGGAAACUUGUGCUAAUACCGAAUGUGCCCUUCGGGGGAAAGAUUUAUCGCCAUUAGAGCGGCCCGCGUCUGAUUAGCUAGUUGGUGGGGUAACGGCUCACCAAGGCGACGAUCAGUAGCUGGUCUGAGAGGAUGACCAGCCACACUGGGACUGAGACACGGCCCAGACUCCUACGGGAGGCAGCAGUGGGGAAUCUUGCGCAAUGGGCGAAAGCCUGACGCAGCCAUGCCGCGUGAAUGAUGAAGGUCUUAGGAUUGUAAAAUUCCUUCACCGGGGACGAUAAGGACGGUACCCGGAGAAGAAGCCCCGGCUAACUUCGU